AAUAGAUACCCAGGUAGUCCACGCCGUAAACGAUGAAUACUAGGUGUAGGGGUUGUCAUGACCUCUGUGCCGCCGCUAACGCAUUAAGUAUUCCGCCUGGGGAGUACGGUCGCAAGAUUAAAACUCAAAGGAAUUGACGGGGGCCCGCACAAGCAGCGGAGCAUGUGGUUUAAUUCGAAGCAACGCGAAGAACCUUACCUAGACUUGACAUCUCCUGCAUUACCCUUAAUCGGGGAAGUUCCUUCGGGAACAGGAAGACAGGUGGUGCAUGGUUGUCGUCAGCUCGUGUCGUGAGAUGUUGGGUUAAGUCCCGCAACGAGCGCAACCCUUAUUGUUAAUUGCUACCAUUUAGUUGAGCACUCUAGCGAGACUGCCCGGGUUAACCGGGAGGAAGGUGGGGAUGACGUCAAAUCAUCAUGCCCCUUAUGUCUAGGGCUACACACGUGCUACAAUGGCAAGUACAAAGAGAAGCAAGGCCGCGAGGUGGAGCAAAACUCAAAAACUUGUCUCAGUUCGGAUUGUAGGCUGAAACUCGCCUACA
This 541-nucleotide ribosomal RNA is filed under the name uncultured bacterium. RNAcentral's name for it is "bacterial SSU rRNA". It matches the Rfam family "Bacterial small subunit ribosomal RNA", at positions 777 to 1320 of the family's 1533-position model. The record is from RNAcentral.